UUACUUUUGAAGCUUAAUGGGAUGUGAUGU
This 30-nucleotide non-coding RNA is filed under the name Rattus norvegicus (Norway rat). Lineage: Eukaryota; Metazoa; Chordata; Mammalia; Rodentia; Muridae. The record is from RNAcentral.